Molecule: long non-coding RNA, 850 nt
Filed under: Cyanistes caeruleus (blue tit)
Lineage: Eukaryota; Metazoa; Chordata; Aves; Passeriformes; Paridae
Description: lncRNA (ENSCCEG00000019233.1)
Source: RNAcentral
CCCCCCCCUCCCCAAACUGUUAAAGAGACAAGAAGGAUAAGAUUAGGUCUUACAAAUUAUCUCAGGGACUGCUGUUGACUUUUGUGUGCCUGGAGCUGACAAUACGGACCAGCUGUUGUACAGAGGAGUGUAUGUCUCCUUUCAUACCAUCCCAGAUACAGGACUACAGAGAAAGAAGCCAAAAAUGGUUUGAAAUGGAAUUAUUUAAAAUUCUUUACAGAGACAAACUUCCACAUCUUGUUCAAGCCCCCAGUUAUGGUGUGACAGACAUUUACGUGUGCUUGAAGCCCUGGUGACUAAGAAGGUGCUGCCAUUUCAAUUUUGUACACUCUGACAAUGAAUGAGAAAAUUUUUUCAUUUCUCACAUUCUACUGCACAGGCAUCCUCAUAAGAAUCAGGACUUGUGAACUGCAGCCAUUUCACUCUGCAAACCUUGGACAAAGUUUGUUUGAUAUAAAUUGUCUUUUGGCUGAGCUUGCUCACAAUAAAAGAGCACUCACUGGAUAAGCUCAACUCCUGCUGGCUUGUUACAGCUAUUCCCCCCAGAAUCUGGAAUAUUUGAUGUUGUUAUCAGAACUGUUGUGUUUGGAAAUUUCAGUCUGGAAGCUGAAAUCUACAUUGAGGGAUAGAAAAUCGGAGGAUACUACAUGUCAGUUAAACGUGUUAGCAUGCCCCUGGAAGGGGUACAGGUAAGAGGUGUAUAUACUGCAAAAUGUUACAGUCCCCAAUUUGCAGCCAUCCUCAAGAUAAGGCAAAGAGGCCUUUUUCUCUUUUUAAUUUUAAUAUUAAAUUAAUAUUUAAUGUGCAGUUAUGAUAAAACAAUAUAGGAUAAAAUCCUGGGACUCUUCCC